GAAAGAUAAGGUGCAGUCCCCUCAGUGUCAUGGAGCAGCAGGAAUUUCAUUAUUGUUAUUGAAGCACUACUUCCUUGAAAACAUCCAAUUUUAUUUGCCUUUUGAUGAGUCCAUUGUCCUAAGAGAAUGGAUGAAGCAUCCAGCACAGGAAAUAUUACACCAGCUCCAGCUGCCAACUCCAUCAGCCUGACUCCUUCACUAAUACCACAUUUCAAGGUCAACCAUGCAUCUGACACCUUCAUGGGCUCCAGUGGAGCUGCAUUUCUUGUUCCAAGGGUGAAGCUGAGGCCUUUUCACGCCAAGCAGCAGAAGAUGGUGGUUGUUACAAGGACCUUGAAUAAUGGGCAAGGCAGCAGAUGGACACAGGCAGAUGGGAAGCAGCAUAACAAGGCAAAUACGGUUUUCAAUGGGCUUGAUUGAAAAUUCUGGAAGAAAAACCUAGCCGGGGCCUACAAUUACUCUUGUAACAAACACCAAGUUUAAUGAAAGAGAUGCAAUGGCUUAUGACACAAGAAAGAAAGCUUGCACAUGGUUGAAAACAACAUAUGUACAGUUUGCAUAAUAAAUAUGCCUAAAACAGAGCUAUUUUCA
This 591-nucleotide long non-coding RNA is filed under the name Cyanistes caeruleus (blue tit). Its description in RNAcentral is "lncRNA (ENSCCEG00000012935.1)". The record is from RNAcentral. Lineage: Eukaryota; Metazoa; Chordata; Aves; Passeriformes; Paridae.